CAAUAGCGUAUAUUUAAGUUGUUGCAGUUAAAAGGCUCGUAGUUGGAUUUCGGUUAAGAGCGACCGGUCCGCCGUUUGGUGUGCACUGGUUGGUUUUAACUUCCUGUAGAGGACGUGCUCUGGGUUUAACGACCUGGACUCGGAGUCUACGUGGUUACUUUGAAAAAAUUAGAGUGUUCAAAGCGGGCUUACGCUUGAAUAUUUCAGCAUGGAAUAACACUAUAGGACUCCUGUCCUAUUUCGUUGGUCUCGGGACGGGAGUAAUGAUUAAGAGGAACAGUUGGGGGCAUUCGUAUUUCAUUGUCAGAGGUGAAAUUCUUGGAUUUAUGAAAGACGAACUUCUGCGAAAGCAUUUGCCAAGGAUGUUUUCAUUAA
RNAcentral lists this ribosomal RNA (375 nucleotides) under uncultured eukaryote. Its description in RNAcentral is "partial 18S ribosomal RNA". It matches the Rfam family "Eukaryotic small subunit ribosomal RNA", at positions 592 to 976 of the family's 1831-position model. The record is from RNAcentral.